Molecule: ribosomal RNA, 253 nt
Filed under: uncultured bacterium
Lineage: Bacteria
Description: partial 16S ribosomal RNA
Rfam family: Bacterial small subunit ribosomal RNA
Source: RNAcentral
UACGGGGGGUGCGAGCGUUGUCCGGAAUCACUGGGCGUAAAGGGCGCGUAGGUGGUUUGAUAAGGGUGUGGUGAAAGUCCGGGGCUCAACCCCGGAUCUGCCGUGCCGACUGUCAAACUCGAGGACUGUAGAGGCAGGUGGAAUUCCGGGUGUAGCGGUGGAAUGCGUAGAGAUCCGGAGGAACACCAGAGGCGAAGGCGGCCGGCUGGACCUGACCUGACGCUGAGGCGCGAAGGCGUGGGGAGCGAACGGG